UACGGGGGGGGCAAGCGUUGUUCGGAAUUACUGGGCGUAAAGGGUUCGUAGGUGGCCCCCUAAGUCAGACGUGAAAUCCCUCAGCUUAACUGGGGAACUGCGUCUGAGACUGGAUGGCUUGAGUGCAGGAGAGGAACGCGGAAUUCCAGGUGUAGCGGUGAAAUGCGUAGAUAUCUGGAGGAACACCGGUGGCGAAGGCGGCGUUCUGGACUGCAACUGACACUGAUGAACGAAAGCCAGGGGAGCAAACGGG
Molecule: ribosomal RNA, 253 nt
Filed under: uncultured bacterium
Lineage: Bacteria
Description: partial 16S ribosomal RNA
Rfam family: Bacterial small subunit ribosomal RNA
Source: RNAcentral